GGGGAUUUAGCUCAGUGGUAGAGCGCUUGCCUAGCAAGCACAAGGACCUGGGUUUGGUCCCCAGCUCCG
RNAcentral lists this transfer RNA (69 nucleotides) under Rattus norvegicus (Norway rat). It matches the Rfam family "tRNA". From Rfam's summary of the family: Transfer RNA (tRNA) molecules are approximately 80 nucleotides in length. Their secondary structure includes four short double-helical elements and three loops (D, anti-codon, and T loops). The record is from Rfam by way of RNAcentral. Lineage: Eukaryota; Metazoa; Chordata; Mammalia; Rodentia; Muridae.